AGAAGGAUGAGCAGCAGGAAAUGACAAGAGGAGGAUUCUGGGGAACGGAUCCGACAGACCUGCACCAACUCCCAGAAACUGCUGGCAAACAGCUUGGGAGGAAUGAUUUAGUGGUCAUGUAUGGAAGUGAGAGUUUGGACUGUGAAGAAAGCUGAGUGCUGAAGAAUUGAUGCUUUUGAACUGUGGUGUUGGAGAAGACUCUUGAGAGUCCCUUGGACUGCAAGGAGAUCAACCCUGGGUGUUCUUUGUAAGGAAUGAUGCUAAAGCUGAAACUCCAGUACUUUGGCCACCUCAUGCAAAGAGUUGACUCAUUGGAAAAGACUCUGAUUCUUGGAGGGAUUGGGGGCAGGAGGAGAAGGGGAUGACAGAGGAUGAGAUGGCUGGAUGGCAUCACUGACUCAAUGGACGUGAGUUUGAGUGAACUCCGGGAGAUGGAGAUGGACAGGGCCUGGCGUGCUGUGAUUCAUGGGGUUGCAAGGAGUCGGACACAACUGAGUGACUGGACUGAACUGAACUGACAUAUAGCUGAUUCACUUCCUUGCACAGCAGAAACUAACACAACAUUAUAAAGCAAUUAUACUCCCCAAAAAAUAAUUUUUAAAAAACAGUCAAAACAAACAAACCUCACUUGAUUUCGUCUCCCAUAAGAGCUAUCCUCUCCUGUUUCUGUUCAGAACCAAUGUUGUUCCGAACUGUCUCUCAUAGUUUCCAUUUCUUCACCUCUCCUUCAUUUAAAAAUUAUUUUCACAUUUUAAAAAUUAAAAUUAUACACACACACAGCUUUUAAAAUUCGACUAUUACUACAGAAUAUAUUGAAAAUAGUCUUCUGCCCUACUCUCUAUGCCCAAGUUGGUCAGUCUAUCUACUGAUCAGCGACAAAUACUUUCAAUUCUCUCCAGCUUUUUCUUUGGAUAGUCACAUUUCUAAAUGAUGUUCUUGAACUUUGUAUAACUGGAUGUACAAUGUAAUAUUCUACACAUCAGAUUUUUUGCUCAAUGUUACGUGGGUGAGAAAGACCCAUAUAAUCCAGUCACUUCCAUUACAUGUCUUGCUGUGUUACAUUCUGUUCAACAAAGAUAGCAAUUCUUUUGAGGGUGGUCAUCUGAGCUGUUUAUAAAUGACAUUACUAUGAACGUUCUUAUACAUAUCUCUGGGCACAUGUGUAAGACUUUUUCUGCAUUUCUAGAUGUGGGAUAGGACCAAUGCAUCUUGGAUUUUUAAAUUCUUUAUGAAACAGAAGC
Bos taurus (domestic cattle) is the source of this 1241-nucleotide long non-coding RNA. Lineage: Eukaryota; Metazoa; Chordata; Mammalia; Artiodactyla; Bovidae. The record is from Ensembl.